AUAAUUAAAAUAUAUAAUAUAUAUUAUUAUAUAUAAUUAAAAUAGCUAGGGCUACUAUACUCUUAUGAGUAUAGAUAUUUUUAUACUCAUAAGUUUUAGACCGUUGGAUGAAGGGAUGUAUGGUUUGGAUGAUAAUGGUCUCCGGUUAGGAUAAUAGUGGUCUCUUGAGGUUGAGUGAGCGAUUGGUUGAAUAGUACCGUUUAACGGAUGGAAAUGAUCAAAAAGGUAAAUCUAACGGCCGAAAACUUAUGAGUAUAAAAAAAAAUAUACUCAUAAGAGUAAAGUAGCCGAACUCUAAUUAAAAUAUAUAUUAUAUAUAAUUAUAUAUUUAUAAUUAUUUUUAAUAUAUAUAUAGCUUUUCGAGUCUAAUUUGAGUGAAUCCGGUAAUACUUAAGUUCGACCUGAAAUAAAUUUUGAGUUUUUUUUUAUUCAAGCUCGACUUAUUUAAUUUUG
This 453-nucleotide long non-coding RNA is filed under the name Ananas comosus (pineapple). RNAcentral's name for it is "long non-coding RNA (ACOM_LNC007652)". Lineage: Eukaryota; Viridiplantae; Streptophyta; Magnoliopsida; Poales; Bromeliaceae. The record is from RNAcentral.